This 173-nucleotide ribosomal RNA is filed under the name uncultured Ascomycota. Its description in RNAcentral is "partial 18S ribosomal RNA". It matches the Rfam family "Eukaryotic small subunit ribosomal RNA", at positions 1661 to 1831 of the family's 1831-position model. Lineage: Eukaryota; Fungi; Ascomycota. The record is from RNAcentral.
UGUACACACCGCCCGUCGCUACUACCGAUUGAAUGGCUCAGUGAGGCUUUUGGACUGGCUCCAGGAGGAUGGCAACAUCCACCCAGAGCCGGAAAAUCUGUCAAACUUGGUCAUUUAGAGGAAGUAAAAGUCGUAACAAGGUUUCCGUAUGUGAACCUGCGGAAGGAUCAUUA